UUACGAUCACACCGUUUUAAAACACCGGUUCCCGUACUAUUACCGAAGUUAAGCAACGUCCAGCUUGGUCAGUACCUAGAUGGGUGACCGCAUGGGAAUAAUAGGUUCUGCAAU
Non-coding RNA from Acanthosepion pharaonis, 114 nucleotides. The record is from the annotation of a GenBank genome assembly. Lineage: Eukaryota; Metazoa; Mollusca; Cephalopoda; Sepiida; Sepiidae.